CCUACGGGAGGCAGCAGUGGGGAAUAUUGCACAAUGAGCGCAAGCCUGAUGCAGCAACGCCGCGUGAAGGAAGACGGUUUUCGGAUUGUAAACUCCUGUUCUUAGUGAAGCAUAAUGACGGUAACUAAGGAGCAAGCCACGGCGAACUACGAGCCAGCAGCCGCGGAAAUACGUAGGUGGCAAGCGUUGUCCGGAUUUAUUGGGUUUAAAGGGUGCGUAGGCGGAAUGACAAGUCAGCGGUAAAAUGGCGGGGCUCAACCUCGCUCGGCCGUUGAAACUGGCGUUCUUGAGUGGGCGAGAAGUAUGCGGAAUGCGUGGUGUAGCGGUGAAAUGCAUAGAUAUCACGCAGAACUCCGAUUGCGAAGGCAGCAUACCGGCGCCCAACUGACGCUGAAGCACGAAAGCGUGGGUAUCGAACAGGAUUAGAUACCCCUGUAGUC
This 440-nucleotide ribosomal RNA is filed under the name uncultured bacterium. RNAcentral describes it as "partial 16S ribosomal RNA". It matches the Rfam family "Bacterial small subunit ribosomal RNA", at positions 338 to 795 of the family's 1533-position model. The record is from RNAcentral.